This 75-nucleotide transfer RNA is filed under the name Candidatus Omnitrophota bacterium. RNAcentral describes it as "Candidatus Omnitrophica bacterium tRNA-Pro". It matches the Rfam family "tRNA". Rfam says of the family: Transfer RNA (tRNA) molecules are approximately 80 nucleotides in length. Their secondary structure includes four short double-helical elements and three loops (D, anti-codon, and T loops). The record is from RNAcentral. Lineage: Bacteria; Pseudomonadati; Candidatus Omnitrophota.
CGGGGUGUAGCUCAGCUUGGCUAGAGCACUGGCUUCGGGAGUCAGGUGUCGGAGGUUCGAAUCCUCUCACCCCGA